CAGCAGGGAUAGCGAUCAGUGCAUUUUUUGCUUCUCACGGGAGUCAAAGGAAAUAAACAAGCGGGACAGGUUGCAGAGGGGCAGGUUUCCACCCAUCAAAGAGACAUUUGUGUGGCAAAGGGGCAGAAGAACAGAGACAGGAGUGAGGGAGAAGUGAGAGGACAUGGAAGUGACCCAGGCGUGGAGGACUGAUGGCUUUCAGAAUGACUAAAGGCGGUGGACCCUGUGCCUGCUGUGGAGAAGGACAAGAGCAGUGUUAACUGUUUAAAGACAGCAAAAGGAUGUGGGAUGCAUGUGACCCAUGCAGCGGGCCCUCUACCUAUGCAACCAUCCACAACCGGGGCAGUAAGGCUCAUUGACCUCAGCAAACCACCCUACUUCUGAUCCUGGAAAGUUACACCACCCUGAAGUCCUGUCACCUCAGAGCUCACUCUCUGAGGAGCUACUGCGUUGUUUGCUUCCAAUCACAGAGCCUCCAGAGCCAGUGAGAGAACAACCGGCGGUGUCGCUGUCUGUUUACUCCCCCUAAAUUUUGAUUUGCAGCUGUGGGUGUCGUUAUUUGAGGUGAUGGUUUUUGCAUGAUUGUUACAAGCUGGUAUUAGUAGUUAUUACAUGUUGUGUUGUUUUCACAUUAAUAAGUAAUGUAAGUGCUCAGACGGAUCUACAGUAUACGGUUUAUCUGAUGUUUUAUCUGGGCAACACAGUGGUUUGUACUGCUGCCUCACAGCAAGAAGGUGCCAGGUUCCAAUCCUGACCAGGGCCUUUCUGUGUGGAGUUUGCAUGUUCUCUGUGUGCCUACAUGUGUUUUGUCCAGAUACCUUCAUCCCACAGUCCAGACACAUGCAGGUUAGUUUAAUUGCUGACUCUAAAUUGCCCAUAGGCAUGAACGUGAGUGGUUGUCUUUCUUUAUGUGUCAGUCCUGUGAGAGACCAGUGCCCAGUCCAGGGUUUGCCCUGCCUCUCACCUAAGUGUAGGCUGGCAUUGCCUCCAGGCCCACCCCACCUAUCCACCCCCAGCCCCUGUGACCCUCUUCAGGAUGUUCACAUGCAUCUAAAGUACAA
This is a long non-coding RNA of Monopterus albus (swamp eel), 1061 nucleotides long. RefSeq lists it as uncharacterized. The transcript has 3 exons. Lineage: Eukaryota; Metazoa; Chordata; Actinopteri; Synbranchiformes; Synbranchidae. The record is from RefSeq and is a predicted model, not a curated record.